AGAGAGUUAAACAGUACGUGAAAUUGUUGAAAGGGAAGCGCUUGCAACCAGACUUGCUCGCGGGUGAUCAGCCUCCCGUGAGGGGGGUGCACUCGCCCGCGAUCAGGCCAGCAUCGGUUUUGGCGGGCGGAUAAAGUCCCCAGGAAUGUAGCUCCCCUCGGGGAGUGUUAUAGCCUGGGGCGUAAUGCGCCCAGCCGGGACCGAGGACCGCGCUUCGGCUAGGAUGCUGGCGUAAUGGUUGUAAGCGACCCGUCUUGAAACACGGACCAAGGAGUCUAACAUCUGUGCGAGUGUUUGGGUGUUAAACCCAUGCGCGGAAUGAAAGUGAACGGAGGUGGGAACCCUCUCGGGGGCGCACCAUCGACCGAUCCUGAUGUCUUCGGAUGGAUUUGAGUAGGAGCAUGGCUGUUGGGACCCGAAAGAUGGUGAACUAUGCCUGAAUAGGGUGAAGCCAGAGGAAACUCUGGUGGAGGCUCGCAGCGGUUCUGACGUGCAAAUCGAUCGUCAAAUUUGGGUAUAGGGGCGAAAGACUAAUCGAACCAUCUAGUAAACACACCUCUACUAGAGAUACCAGGGGCGGUCCAGGCUCCAGUAGUCCCCGUGUACGGGGGCAACACUGUUAGUCUCCGGGGAUGCCUACCGGGCUACCCGGACUGAGCCCAGGCUCAGUCACAGACUAAGUGACGGUGGCCGCGUGUCUCUGCGGUUAGGAUAUA
RNAcentral lists this ribosomal RNA (716 nucleotides) under Lobothallia sp. RNAcentral describes it as "partial large subunit ribosomal RNA". It matches the Rfam family "Eukaryotic large subunit ribosomal RNA", at positions 382 to 997 of the family's 3401-position model. The record is from RNAcentral. Lineage: Eukaryota; Fungi; Ascomycota; Lecanoromycetes; Pertusariales; Megasporaceae.